This 291-nucleotide unclassified non-coding RNA is filed under the name uncultured fungus. Its description in RNAcentral is "sequence contains ITS1". The record is from RNAcentral. Lineage: Eukaryota; Fungi.
GUAUUUCAUUUUAAAAGGCAUCGCUGCCAUUUAAUGGACAUUCUAUUAACGCGUAUGUAUUUGUAAAACAUAGAUGCCGGUAAGCAAGAGCAGCCAAAAAGGAUCAGCAGACUCUCCAACAUUUCCUUUGAAAAGAAAUAACACAAUCCCAGCAUCUACAAAGGGUGCACAGGUGGGUAAAGGAUGAAUGAACAAGUUUGAAAGGCGUGCACAUGCUAGAAAGCCAGCGACAACCUCACAACCUUUGUUUAUUAUUCAAUAAUGAUCCUUCCGCAGGUUCACCUACGGAAA